AGCUGCAGACACACCUGGCAUCAACUCAAAAGCCACUCCAUGAAACUGAUGGCAAUGGGAAAGUGAAUGUUACUGACUCAGAGGAGAUGGAUGACAUGUCAUUGAUGCAGUUGCAGACACACUUGGCACGUACCAAUAAAAGCAUGACAUCAUCGGAAGCUGCAGUCUGUCCACCGUCUCAGACUGCCCAAGACCUCAACGCGAACAAGACAACAACACCCACUGAACUGGCUGCCACUGCCAUCCCAAAUGCAACA
Patiria miniata (bat star) is the source of this 257-nucleotide long non-coding RNA. RefSeq lists it as uncharacterized. Lineage: Eukaryota; Metazoa; Echinodermata; Asteroidea; Valvatida; Asterinidae. The record is from RefSeq and is a predicted model, not a curated record. The transcript has 4 exons.